GGGGCUGUAGCUCAGCGGUAGAGCGCUCGCCUUUUAAGUGAGAGGUCGCGGGUUCGAAUCCCUUCAGUUCCA
This 72-nucleotide transfer RNA is filed under the name Candidatus Melainabacteria bacterium. RNAcentral describes it as "tRNA-Lys". It matches the Rfam family "tRNA". From Rfam's summary of the family: Transfer RNA (tRNA) molecules are approximately 80 nucleotides in length. Their secondary structure includes four short double-helical elements and three loops (D, anti-codon, and T loops). Lineage: Bacteria; Bacillati; Candidatus Melainabacteria. The record is from RNAcentral.